UGGGAAUGUGACCCGCGAAUAUUGUUGCC
This 29-nucleotide non-coding RNA is filed under the name Homo sapiens (human). Lineage: Eukaryota; Metazoa; Chordata; Mammalia; Primates; Hominidae. The record is from RNAcentral.